CGCGUAGGCGGUAAUGAAAGUCAGAUGUGAAAUACUUCGGCUCAACUGAAGAACUGCAUCUGAAACUUCAUAACUAGAGUACGGAAGAGGGAAAUGGAAUUCCCGGUGUAGAGGUGAAAUUCGUAGAUAUCGGGAGGAACACCAGUGGCGAAGGCGAUUUCCUGGUCUGGUACUGACGCUGAGGCGCGAAAGUGUGGGGAGCAAACAG
Molecule: ribosomal RNA, 208 nt
Filed under: uncultured bacterium
Lineage: Bacteria
Description: partial 16S ribosomal RNA
Rfam family: Bacterial small subunit ribosomal RNA
Source: RNAcentral